RNAcentral lists this ribosomal RNA (497 nucleotides) under uncultured bacterium. RNAcentral describes it as "partial 16S ribosomal RNA". It matches the Rfam family "Bacterial small subunit ribosomal RNA", at positions 28 to 507 of the family's 1533-position model. The record is from RNAcentral.
GAUGAACGCUGGCGGCGUGCCUAAUACAUGCCAGUCGAGCGAACAGACGAGGAGCUUGCUCCUCUGACGUUAGCGGCGGACGGGUGAGUAACACGUGGAUAACCUACCUAUAAGACUGGGAUAACUUCGGGAAACCGGAGCUAAUACCGGAUAAUAUAUUGAACCGCAUAGUUCAAUAGUGAAAGACGGUUUUGCUGUCACUUAUAGAUGGAUCCGCGCCGCAUUAGCUAGUUGGUAAGGUAACGGCUUACCAAGGCGACGAUGCGUAGCCGACCUGAGAGGGUGAUCGGCCACACUGGAACUGAGACACGGUCCAGACUCCUACGGGAGGCAGCAGUAGGGAAUCUUCCGCAAUGGGCGAAAGCCUGACGGAGCAACGCCGCGUGAGUGAUGAAGGUCUUCGGAUCGUAAAACUCUGUUAUUAGGGAAGAACAAAUGUGUAAGUAACUAUGCACGUCUUGACGGUACCUAAUCAGAAAGCCACGGCUAACUACGUG